CAUAUUUUAGAUGAUUUUAAAAAAUUUUAAAAACACUUUUAUCUCUCUCUCUCUCUCUCUCUCUCUCUCUCUCUCUCUCGUUAAUCACCACCUUCAGACAAGUUUCCAUGGCUUCAUCUUCACCAUUACAGAUUUGAAAUGAAAAAAUGAGAAAAGCAUGACGGUGAAAGAAAUUUCCUAGAGAGAGAUUUUUUGGCUAUUACAGAUGACAGGAACAGAUAGCGAGGUGGUUAUUAUUGAUAAUAGCGAAGCUUCUGUUUAGCUUGAAAAACAUGAAGAAAUUUUUAUUGAACUUAUGGAAGAAGAAGUUUUGAAGGGAAAUAGGAAUACUACAACCUUUACAAAGCAAUCAUGGAAGCGUAUAAAGGAGGAGCUUUAUGCACAAGCGAAGAGAAGUUACACUGAUACGCAAUUAAGGAACAAAUACAAUCUGUUAAGACAAAAGCACAAGGAUUUCAAGUCUUUACUGAAAGAGACUGGCAUAGGAUUUAGUGUAGUGAAAUGGCUAAUGUCCGUGAUGAAAUUGCUGAUCAUAUAUGGAGAGCAAAUCGACGAUGAAGAUAAUGGGUGAAGAUUAUUAACAAUUAGAACUUUUUUAAUAGUUUUCUUCAAGAUUAGACAAUUAUUAGUUCAUAUUUUAUUAUGAAUUUGUCGGUUUUGUGUUAUAGAUAAUGUAUUUCGUGAUUUUAAAUUACUUGAAUUUUUUAAAAUGUUAAUGAGUAUUUUUAUUUGA
Cannabis sativa is the source of this 733-nucleotide long non-coding RNA. RefSeq lists it as uncharacterized. The record is from RefSeq and is a predicted model, not a curated record. Lineage: Eukaryota; Viridiplantae; Streptophyta; Magnoliopsida; Rosales; Cannabaceae. The transcript is spliced from 3 exons.